GACGAACGCUGGCGGCAUGCUUAACACAUGCAAGUCGAACGCAGUACUAGAGCUUGCUCUAGUAGCUGAGUGGCAGACGGGUGAGUAACACGUGGGAACUUACCCUCUAGACUGGGACAACCACUGGAAACGGUGGCUAAUACCGGAUAAGCCCUGAAGGGGAAAGCAGAAAUGCGCUAGAGGAGAGGCCCGCGGCAGAUUAGGUAGUUGGUGGGGUAAAGGCCUACCAAGCCGAUGAUCUGUAGCUGGUUUGAGAUGAUGAUCAGCCACACUGGAACUGAGACACGGUCCAGACUCCUACGGGAGGCAGCAGUGGGGAAUAUUGGACAAUGGGCGCAAGCCUGAUCCAGCCAUGCCGCGUGAGUGACGAAGGCCUUAGGGUUGUAAAGCUCUUUUGCAGGGGAAGAUAAUGACGGUACCCUGAGAAUAAGUUCCGGCUAACUUCGUGCCAGCCGCCGUAAGAC
Molecule: ribosomal RNA, 464 nt
Filed under: uncultured bacterium
Lineage: Bacteria
Description: partial 16S ribosomal RNA
Rfam family: Bacterial small subunit ribosomal RNA
Source: RNAcentral